This 397-nucleotide ribosomal RNA is filed under the name uncultured bacterium. RNAcentral describes it as "partial 16S ribosomal RNA". It matches the Rfam family "Bacterial small subunit ribosomal RNA", at positions 523 to 918 of the family's 1533-position model. The record is from RNAcentral.
AUACGUAGGUGGCAAGCGUUGUCCGGAAUUAUUGGGCGUAAAGCGCGCGCAGGUGGUUCCUUAAGUCUGAUGUGAAAGCCCCCGGCUCAACCGGGGAGGGUCAUUGGAAACUGGGGAACUUGAGUGCAGACGAGGAUAGUGGAAUUCCAAGUGUAGCGGUGAAAUGCGUAGAGAUUUGGAGGAACACCAGUGGCGAAGGCGACUGUCUGGUCUGUAACUGACACUGAGGCGCGAAAGCGUGGGGAGCAAACAGGAUUAGAUACCCUGGUAGUCCACGCCGUAAACGAUGAGUGCUAAGUGUUGGGGGGUUUCCGCCCCUCAGUGCUGCAGCUAACGCAUUAAGCACUCCGCCUGGGGAGUACGGUCGCAAGACUGAAACUCAAAGGAAUUGACGGGG